GACGAACGCUGGCGGCGUGCUUAAUACAUGCAAGUCAACGACUUUUAGAGUAGCAAUAUUCUAAAGGAAGUGGCGCACGGGUGAGUAACACGUAGGUAAUCUGCCUUCAGGACUGACACAACUCGUCGAAAGACGGGCUAAUAUCAGAUAAUGCAGCGGCUCCGCAUGGAGACAGUUGUUAAAGUACAAGCGCCUGAAGAUGAGCCUGCGGUCCAUUAGCUAGUUGGUAGAGUAACAGCCUACCAAGGCAACGAUGGAUAGCUGGUCUGAGAGGAUGAUCAGCCACACUGGAACUGAGACACGGUCCAGACUCCUACGGGAGGCAGCAGUAAGGAAUAUUGCUCAAUGGCCGAAGGCUGAAGCAGCAACGCCGCGUGAAGGAUGAAUGGCCUUUGGCCUGUAAACUU
RNAcentral lists this ribosomal RNA (407 nucleotides) under uncultured bacterium. RNAcentral's name for it is "bacterial SSU rRNA". It matches the Rfam family "Bacterial small subunit ribosomal RNA", at positions 28 to 432 of the family's 1533-position model. The record is from RNAcentral.